Non-coding RNA from Paramuricea clavata, 74 nucleotides. NCBI's taxonomy places the organism in Eukaryota, Metazoa, Cnidaria, Anthozoa, Malacalcyonacea, Plexauridae. The record is from the annotation of a GenBank genome assembly.
GUAUUCUUUAGCUCAGUUGGUUAGAGCGCUGCACCGGGACACAGUGACGCAGGUUUGAUUCCUGCCAGUGGACU